CUUUUAUCGGAUCGUACCAUGUUUUGGGUACUUAUCUGUCUUCAACUUCCCAUUAAGUUGGUAAACUUACAAGUCUCUGUUUAUAUAGUUUCCUUUAGAUGUCGUACGUUAAUUGUCGGUAUCAUUAGCACAGCACGUAGGAUCGCCCACACUCAAGUAGGAGGUGCUUAGCUCUGCAGUGUUGGCAAUCUGAUCAACUAGGCUAAUCUAGGUCAGCAAACAUCACACCUACGCUACUUGAGCGACCAGUUCUUUCCCCUUCCGUUCAGUAACUUUCGAUUACAAGUUACAUAUCUGUUCCUCCAAAGUUACCUUAUGACCUUUCCUACCAACUCCCUUAGUUUCAUGGCAAAGGACAUCCGUUUUGUAUCCUUAAAUUCUUUUCAAAGCUUUCCUUUGUUAUCGCUAAUUUUGCCGAGAGUUAAUGAUAUCUGAUGUAACUGUUUGCAUUGUCAAGUACCGUCCAAUCACCGCACUCUGCACACGUGGUCAGUGCUUGUCAAUCAAACGUACUACUUGUUUUACUACAAAUAAGACCGCAUUGUAAUUCCUCAUUACUCUUCAUACCACUGACUCAGAAUAAAGGUACGACUCCGGUCAAAAGAAGUCCUCCCGACUAAUCAUUACAGAAUUAAUGACGAGUGCAGUUGUAAACAAAUUAAGCAAACACAAAACGGCAAAACGCGAGCAUUUUUGUUACUUUAUUCCCGACUGCUAUCGCAAUUUUUCGCUUUAUUUAUUUAAGUUAUGUGUCUUCACUUAAACGAGCAAAAGAGCAACUUCUGCAGAGCCAAGCUGAUGGAAUCAUAGCCGACGAGGAGUUUGUUUUGCUUUACGAUUUAAGCAAACUAGACAAUCUUGUUCCCCCGUACGAAAACUACAAAACUGUUUCACGUGGAUCUUUUGGAGGAAGAUGAGUGCUCAUCUGAAUUUAGGUUUCACAAGCGAGAUAUCCCUGCAAUAUCUGCAAAAGGAUCUCCAUUGGACAACUGUUUCGGAUUCAUCGAUGGAAAUGUAGUGAGACCUAUUUGCUGACCAAACCAGCACCAGGAGAUUGUGUACAAUGGCCUCAAACGAGUUCAUAGUAUAAAGUUCCAGUCCGUGGCUCCCGAAUGGCAUGAUAGGGAACAUGUAUGGACCAAUAGAGGGAAAACGACAUGAUGCUUUCAUGCUGCGGGAGUCUGGCCUCCCCCACGAUCUUGAGCUGCAUGCAUUCUCUAGGCCUCCUGCACCACAUCCACUAUGCCUUUAUGGAGACCCAGCAUAUCUCCUCCGCAUUCAUCUACAAGGCUCCUUCGGCAAUACAGUCCACCCCCUCAAACCACAGAUGGAAGAGUUUAAUGAAUCAAAUGGACAUCCGUGGAGUAGCUCCUUGGGGAUAUUGUAAAUUAUUUUAAGUUUAUUGAUUAAAUAAAAUUUUUAAAUUGUUCCGUCUUCAGUAAGAAAAGCUUAUAUUGUCUUUGCUCUUCUUAGAAAUGCCUUAAAUUCACUCUAUGGAAACACUACUUCUCAGAUUUUUUAUCAAGAAAACAUACUUAGAUUAAAAUACUUCUAUGUCACCAUAAUCAAAAUAAGCAUCAGAUAAAAGUUUUUUUUAACAUUUUAAUGAUAUUUUUUAAUAAUAUUAAUUUUUGCCAUAAAGAAGCAAAUAUCUUGAAUAAGGUUUAUAUUCAGAUGCGAGAAAGCCUUGCACUGGAAGAACAUCACAAAUCUGUGUAAGCUAAGAAAGUAAUAUAUUACUUCACUAUAAAUAAUAAAGUUCAAUAAAUAAUUUUCUGAAACUA
Molecule: long non-coding RNA, 1784 nt
Organism: Nematostella vectensis (starlet sea anemone)
Lineage: Eukaryota; Metazoa; Cnidaria; Anthozoa; Actiniaria; Edwardsiidae
Exons: 2
Source: RefSeq, a predicted model, not a curated record